UACAGAGGUCUCAAGCGUUGUUCGGAUUCAUUGGGCGUAAAGGGUGUGUAGGUGGCGCGCUAAGUCGGGUGUGAAAUUUCGGAGCUUAACUCCGAAACUGCAUUCGAUACUGGCGUGCUUGAGGACUGGAGAGGAGACUGGAAUUCAUGGUGUAGCAGUGAAAUGCGUAGAGAUCAUGAGGAAGACCAGUGGCGAAGGCGGCUCUCUGGGACGGUACUGACGCUGAGACGCGAAAGCGUGGGGAGCGAACAGG
RNAcentral lists this ribosomal RNA (253 nucleotides) under uncultured bacterium. Its description in RNAcentral is "partial 16S ribosomal RNA". It matches the Rfam family "Bacterial small subunit ribosomal RNA", at positions 524 to 776 of the family's 1533-position model. The record is from RNAcentral.